RNAcentral lists this long non-coding RNA (832 nucleotides) under Homo sapiens (human). RNAcentral describes it as "HSALNT0392609". The record is from RNAcentral. Lineage: Eukaryota; Metazoa; Chordata; Mammalia; Primates; Hominidae.
GUUAAGAUGUAACUGAAAAUAUGCUUCCCUCCUGAAACUUGGAAUCUUGCUUUUAAUUAUCAUUGAAAUGUCACCAGAGAUACAUUUAAACAGUUUUUGAUAAGACAUGGACUAACAAACCGAAUCCAACUGCUACAGGGACAUUUUUUAAUUUCACAGGUGGUUGAAAUAUAUACUGCGGCAGUAUAAAGGAGAAAAUGCAGCAGGAGCUACCCGUGAUAGGAGUCAAUACCUCUGUGAACAAGGAGAAGCACUACUAUCUUGGUUGAAAACACUCUUAUUCGUAACAAAACCGAAAGCUCCUGUGUCUGAUCUUUUAAUAGACUUUCAAGGACACAUUUUCAACAGGUAUGGGAAACCAGAAUACGCUACACCCAAAUGUGCCUCUUUGGCAGAAGUCUGAUUGGGCUGAAGGAAUUAAGAACAAGCAGAAGCAGGAAGGCUCUUUGCCCUCUCUCUAUUUGCCUAAAAUUGGGAUGUAAAUUUACAAAGACAAAAGCUAUUUCACCUCCCCUCUCUGAAAGAACAAAGGUUAACCACUGAAGAGAGUUUUUCACCCUUACGGGCCGGAAGAUGGCACCAGAGGAAACUACGUUAGCAAGCUUUGCAAACCAGCCUUUCUCUGCCAGUUAUUUUCCUUCCCCCACCUUGUGGCCCCUAGAGAUACAAAGUCUUUUUAUUUUUUAUUUUUUUUGUCUUGUCACUUCUCUAAGCAUUGACUGUUCUUUGUAGAAGAUCCCACAUAAGUUGGAAUUCAAGCCACCUCUUUGAAAAUUACUCAUUCCCUAGGUAUCUUCCAUGCGUGUAUUAAAUAAACAUAUUAAUAAACUUC